RNAcentral lists this unclassified non-coding RNA (1184 nucleotides) under Hevea brasiliensis (rubber tree). Lineage: Eukaryota; Viridiplantae; Streptophyta; Magnoliopsida; Malpighiales; Euphorbiaceae. The record is from RNAcentral.
CUUCCUUAAAGAGUGAGCAUAAAACAGGAUAAGUUAUAUUUUACAAAUGUUUUUCUAUAGUUUGAGGUACUAACUAACAAAAAUAAUAAAUAAUAAAUCAAUAUAAAUGGAAAUAUACCCACUUAAAUUUAUGCGCUAAGCGAAAAAUGUGAAGCAGGUUCUCGAGACCAUUUCCAAAUAGCCAACUUUCUACAUAUAAAGGAGCACAAUGGACUUCGUGCAUUAAAUUUCUAUCCACAGCAAACUUUUCGGACUAGCCAAUUUAAAUGCCAAUUGCAUAUGUCCCAAAACAUGAAUUGCAUCAUAACUGAACAUCUAUACUAGAAAAUUGCAUUUGUUCAAGUUGGCUAAUUUAAAAGUUAUAUUGAUCAAUAGGAUGAAAAUGCUUAAACAGCUAAAACAUCAACCUCGGUAAGUGUCAACCAAGGGGUAAUCCACGCAAUUCCUCCAGUAACUUGUGAUAGGACCAACAAGAUUUUGGACAGAUUAAUCUUUUCUGAGUUCCAUAUACUCAUGACGGAUACCAUCAGCAUUUAGGAUGACAAUUUCAAGCUUGUCUCCCUGUUGAACAAACAUGAAAGGUAAAGGAUAAUGGCAUACAUGAACUACAAACACCAUUAAAUAGCAAGUGCAUAGAGAAUAUCUAUUUGCCCAUUUAUUUCUGUGUCUGCAUGGUGAAUGUGCAUCUUCUGCAUGUGUACACAUGCACGUGUGAAAAAUUAAAGCACUUUCCCUCAUCUUGCCUUCCUUAAACAAAUUAAUAAUUAAAAGAAAACAUAAAAUAAAAUUAAAUAAUGGUAAUGGUACCAGAAACAAAAACUUACAGUGUAGAUAUCCCUCUCAGUUGCAGAUGCAAAAACAGUUUUCACUAAGUCAACAGCUUCCAAUUCUGAAAGUGGAGUUACAGCAUCCUGGGCAGGCAAUAACAGAGGGCUGGGAGACUUCAGUUGGUUAUCCAGAAAAGGCAUGAUAAGAGUGGAACCAGAACCUUGAGCACUAUAUCCAACCCUCUCAUAGGAGCCAACAGCAUCAUAAGUGUAGACACAGCCCUUUCCUUCACUAUCAAGACCACCUAGAACAUUAAAAGCAUAGUACGGAAAGAAGCGUUUAUAGUAGAGAGUGUUCGAGAGUAGUUGAGCCAUGGCAGGACAGCUCAUUUGCUUGUUGUGUUGGUGUUGAUAGAU